This 305-nucleotide ribosomal RNA is filed under the name uncultured bacterium. RNAcentral's name for it is "bacterial SSU rRNA". It matches the Rfam family "Bacterial small subunit ribosomal RNA", at positions 335 to 657 of the family's 1533-position model. The record is from RNAcentral.
UACCUACGGGGGGCAGUAGUGGGGAAUAUUGCACAAUGGGGGAAACCCUGAUGCAGCGACGCCGCGUGAGUGAAGAAGUAUUUCGGUAUGUAAAGCUCUAUCCGCAGGGAAGAAAAAAGACGGUACCUGACUAAGAAGCCCCGGCUAACUACGUGCCAGCAGCCGCGGUAAUACGUAGGGGGCAAGCGUUAUCCGGAUUUACUGGGUGUAAAGGGAGCGCAGGCGGUGCGGCAAGUCUGAUGUGAAAGCCCGGGGCUCAACCCCGGGACUGCAUUGGAAACUACCGAACUAGAGUGUCGGAGAGG